CAGUAGCCGCGGUAAUACAGAGGGUGCGAGCGUUAAUCGGAUUUACUGGGCGUAAAGCGUGCGUAGGCGGCUAAUUGAGUCGGAUGUGAAAUCCCCGAGCUUAACUUGGGAAUUGCAUUCGAUACUGGUUAGCUAGAGUGUGGGAGAGGAUGGUAGAAUUCCAGGUGUAGCGGUGAAAUGCGUAGAGAUCUGGAGGAAUACCGAUGGCGAAGGCAGCCAUCUGGCCUAACACUGACGCUGAGGUACGAAAGCAUGGGGAGCAAACAGGAUUAGAUACCCCGUUAGUCCCUGUCUUUAUACA
RNAcentral lists this ribosomal RNA (301 nucleotides) under uncultured bacterium. RNAcentral describes it as "partial 16S ribosomal RNA". It matches the Rfam family "Bacterial small subunit ribosomal RNA", at positions 509 to 809 of the family's 1533-position model. The record is from RNAcentral.